This 28-nucleotide non-coding RNA is filed under the name Bombyx mori (domestic silkworm). The record is from RNAcentral. Lineage: Eukaryota; Metazoa; Arthropoda; Insecta; Lepidoptera; Bombycidae.
UAGUAAAUCGAUUAGGGACCGCUGUAAC